AACGCACAUUGCGCCCGCUGGCAUUCCAGCGGGCAUGCCUGUUCGAGCGUCAUUUCGACCACUUAAGCCCUUUGUUGCUUAGCGUUGGGAGCCUACCGCGGGCGGCCUCGGCCGCUGCGGUCGCUCCCCAAAGUCAGUGGCGGAGCCGGGUUCGUGCUCUAGGCGUAGUAGAAUCUUCCAUCUCGCCUGCAGCCGGGACCGGUCCCCUGCCGUAAAACACCCCACUUCUUUUAUAAUGGUUGACCUCGGAUCAGGUAGGAAUACCCGCUGAACUUAA
Molecule: unclassified non-coding RNA, 277 nt
Filed under: uncultured fungus
Lineage: Eukaryota; Fungi
Description: partial contains 5.8S ribosomal RNA, internal transcribed spacer 2, and large subunit ribosomal RNA
Rfam family: 5.8S ribosomal RNA (bases 1-52)
Source: RNAcentral